RNAcentral lists this ribosomal RNA (900 nucleotides) under uncultured archaeon. RNAcentral's name for it is "bacterial SSU rRNA". It matches the Rfam family "Archaeal small subunit ribosomal RNA", at positions 4 to 878 of the family's 1478-position model. The record is from RNAcentral.
CCGGUUGAUCCUGCCGGACCCCACUGCUAUCGGGAUAGGACUAAGACAUGCUAGUCGAGCGCCUCCCAGCCACGACGGAGGCGCGGCGCACAGCUCAGUAACACGUGGCUAACCUGCCCUCGGGACGGGAAUACCCCCGGGAAACUGGGGCUAAUCCUCGAUAGGUGAAGAACUCUGGAAUGAGUCUCCGCCCAAAAGACGCUUAAAUCAUGCUUUUAGGCGCCGCCCAAGGAUGGGGCCGCGACCGAUCAGGUAGUUGGUGAGGCAACGGCUCACCAAGCCUUUAACCGGUGCGGGCCGUGGGAGCGGGAGCCCGGAGAUGGGCACUGAGACAAGGGCCCAGGCCCUACGGGGCGCAGCAGUCGCGAAAACUUUGCAAUACACGAAAGUGUGACAGGGCUAUCCCGAGUGCCAUCCGCUGAGGAAGGCUUUUACCCAGUCUAGAAAGCUGGGAGAAUAAGGAGAGGGCAAGUCUGGUGUCAGCCGCCGCGGUAAUACCAGCUCUCCGAGUGGUGUGGAUGUUUAUUGGGCCUAAAGCAUCCGUAGCUGGCCAAGUUAGUCCCCUGUUAAACCCACCGAAUUAAUCGUUGGAGUGCGGGGGAUACUGCUCGGCUAGGGGACGAGAGAGGCCGACGGUAUUUCCGGGGUAGGGGUGAAAUCCUAUAAUCCCGGGAGGACCACCAGUGGCGAAGGCUGUCGGCUAGAACGCGCCCGACGGUGAGGGAUGAAAGCUGGGGGAGCGAACCGGAUUAGAUACCCGGGUAGUCCCAGCUGUAAACGAUGCAGGCUAGGUGUUUGGGCGGCCACGGGCCGCUCUAGUGCCGCAGGGAAGCCGUUAAGCCUGCCGCCUGGGGAGUACGGUCGCAAGGCUGAAACUUAAAGGAAUUGGCGGGAAGGGCG